UAUAGAGAAAAUGCCGCAUGAGAACAACGAAAGACAAACCAAAAGUAACAAACAGCAAAGCUUACCCCUUCUACCUUUUGCACAAUGAUUUAACUAGAACAGUUUAGUGAAGAGAACUUAAGCUAAAUAACCCAAAACCAGAUGAGCUACCUAUAAGCAGCUUUACAGAACAAACUCAUCUACGUGGCAAAAUAUUGAGAAGAUGUAUAGGCAGAGGUGAAAAGCCUACCGAGCCUGGUGAUAGCUGGUUGUCCAGAAUAGACUUUUAGUUAAAAUUUAAAACUUACCUGAGAAAAAUAAUUUAAAUGGAAGUUUAAAUAAUCAUCUAAAAAGAUAAAGCCUUUUAGAUACAGGGUUCAACCCUUAGUAGAGUAAGUACAAAAAACACCAUUCUUGGCCUAAAAGCAGCCACCAAUUAAGAAAGUGUUCAAGCUCAACAACUCAAUUAUCUUAAUCCCAAUAGCAAAUACUAGCUCUUAGUCUAGCACUGGACUAUUCUAUUAUUAAAUAGAAGCAAUACUGUUAAUAUGAGUAACAAGAAUCAUUUUUCCCCGUACGAACUUACAUCAGAACGGAUGAACCACUGAUAGUUAACAACAAAAUAAAUCCAACCGAACAGUAAAAUAAUUAUUAAAUAAGUUGUUAACCCAACACAGGCAUACAUUUAAGGAAAGAUUUUAAAAAGUAAAAGGAACCCAGCAAACACAAACCCCACCUUUUUACCAAAACAUCACCUCUAGCAUCCCCAAUAUUAGAGGCACUGCCUGCCCAGUGACAUCUGUUUAACAGCCACAGUAUCCUGACUGCGCAAUGGUAGCAUAGUCACUUGUUCCCUAAAUAAGGACUUGUAUGAACGCCACAUGAGGGUUUUGCUGUCUCUUACUUUCAGUCAGUGGACUGACCUCGUGAAGAGGCGGGAAUAACCAAAUGAGGUGAAAAGACCCUAUGGAGCGUUAAUUAAUUAGCCUCCAAAGUGAAACUAUUAUCCUUCUAAGGAAUAAAAUAUCUUUUAAUGGGUUAACAAUUUAGGUUGGGGUGACCUCAGAAUACAAAGUAACCUCCAGGGUGAUUAAAAUUUAGACUACCUAGUUAAAAUAGGAUAUCACUUAUUGAUCCAAAAAUGUGAUCAACAAAACAAGUUACCCUAGGGAUAACAGCACAAUCCUACUUAAGAGUCCAUGUCAACAAUAGGGUUUAUGAUCUCGAUGUUGGAUCAGGACAUCCCAAUGGUGUAACCGCUAUUAAUGGUUCAUUUCUUCAAUGAUUAAAGGGCUACAAGAUCUCAGUUCAGACCAGAGUAAUCCAGAUCAGUUUCUAUCAAUUGUAUGCUUCUCUCAGUACA
This 1342-nucleotide ribosomal RNA is filed under the name Pteropus alecto (black flying fox). RNAcentral's name for it is "Bacterial large subunit ribosomal RNA". It matches the Rfam family "Bacterial large subunit ribosomal RNA", at positions 534 to 2670 of the family's 2925-position model. Lineage: Eukaryota; Metazoa; Chordata; Mammalia; Chiroptera; Pteropodidae. The record is from Rfam by way of RNAcentral.